AGCCCCCGGCCUUGGGAAACCCAUUAGGGCAGAUGUUUUCCUUAGGAACUGUAAAAGCUUGAGUAACCAGCUUGGCUUCUGCCUGUGCCGAAUUGACAAUACUACUACGUUUGGCACUAAAUCCCGCUGUGGAGGAGUUAGUUUCAGUGAGAUGGAGGGAAACAAGACUCCUAGCAAGAUUGACAAACUUGUUUUGCGAAAUAUUAAAUUGCAGAAAGACGACCGAUGGAAUCUUUUGCAUAUUUAUUUAGAAACCCCAUUGGGUCCAGUAGGGCUUACUUCCAAGCAAAGGUGCCCGAUGUUGCAGGCAGCUUCUGUUUCGGUUACUUCGGUAUACUGCGACAGAAUGUCUGGAAAUACGGCAAGGGGGGCGGGGCGGUCCUUUAAUGGUCCCUCCGGGUCCGGGACGUAGAAGGAGUGGCUUGAUUCGCUCCACGUGCACAAGCUCACACAGCUUUGUGCUCAGUCAGGGUAUUAUUUAAUUCCGCUUAGUUUGCUAGUUUUAUACUCUCACAGAGCACUCUUGGUUACUCAGAAUUAAGUCCCGUUGAGGGUGUACCUUCAAAAACCAUCUCCAGUGCCGGAGUAUAUAGGGUAGAUUCUGCCCAUUUGUGGAUGAAGAACUUGGGAGCAGUUCUGAUGCUGUGCUUGAAAGAAGAUGAAAGUUCUGAGAUUCCAAUUGAGAAGCAUCCUUUUGGAGAAGACUAAGCGUGGUUCAUUUGCCUUGGUGUCCCUGUGCUCAUUCAGUGUUCAAGUAUCCUUAGGGGCUUUAGCAUCCCCCCAUCUUCCCCCUUAGCAACAGUGAAGCAAAAUUGACAGAAGCAAGAUCAAGAAGGAAGUGGCUGUUCCCCAACAUGGCAGCCUUCUUGAAUAAGAUACAGUUCUUUCCUGGGUGGGUCUUAGCCACCUGAACAAGCCCGUGGCUGAUAUCUGGACUAAUGAAGCGCUUGUGGAAGGGUACUUUCCUAGCUGUUUCACUAGCCACUUGCACUAAAUCUGGAGCUUGCAUUCCAGACUAACGUUGCACAAUCACAAGCAUUCUUGCGCAGCUGUGGCAUGUCUUAAUUGUUUUAAAUGGAAUGUUUGCAUAACUAGUAUUUAAGGGGUUUUUUAGAAUGAUAUUUAUUUUUAUUUAUAUAUUUAUCAUAUUUCUAUACUGUCUGACAUAUGCAUCUCUAAGCAGAAGGGAUGAUAAAGAAGACAUGAUCUUCUUGCAUUAGCACAACUAUACUUGUUAUGCAAGCUCUUCAUUAGGAUGUUAUCCAGUAUUUGUAGAUGAGACGGAGAGGCAUCAACUUUGUUUGUUUUUUCAAAUUUGCCCAUCUCCGGGCAUUUACAUGUACAAUAGUAAAUUCAUUAUUAGAAUUUGGUAAUGGACAAGAAUUAAAAUUAGCAGGAAAUAUGCUAAAUUUGCAAAAACAAAAGAGGUUUCCUCACUUUCAGUACUGAAGUAUACUUUGAAAGCAAAUUGGUAUUUGUGAAUAAUGCAUAUAUUUUUCCAUGCAUUAUUUCCAUAAAAAUAAAAACUACCAAUUAUUUUGAUACAUAGGCAAUCUGGUAUCUUUGUAUUUCUCAUAAUUAAUGUAUACAUAUUAAAUCACCAAGAGAAAAGUGUUUCCUUGAUGUCAUUGCAGUUAAUUAAUUAUGCAUGUUAUGAAACCAAACAUCACCACACAUACCAUGAAAAUUUAGAAAACUUUGUAAAGCUUGCAAAAACGUUCUUUUUCCCAAACGGAUGAAAAGAAUGUUCACUUUGCAUUUAUAAACAUUUUAUG
Hemicordylus capensis (graceful crag lizard) is the source of this 1775-nucleotide long non-coding RNA. RefSeq lists it as uncharacterized. Lineage: Eukaryota; Metazoa; Chordata; Lepidosauria; Squamata; Cordylidae. The record is from RefSeq and is a predicted model, not a curated record. The transcript is spliced from 3 exons.